This 549-nucleotide ribosomal RNA is filed under the name uncultured bacterium. Its description in RNAcentral is "bacterial SSU rRNA". It matches the Rfam family "Bacterial small subunit ribosomal RNA", at positions 58 to 624 of the family's 1533-position model. The record is from RNAcentral.
CAAGUCGAACGCUCUCGACCUUCGGGUCACAUGAGAGAGUGGCGAACGGGUGCGUAACACGUGAGAAACCUGCCCCGAAGACGGGAAUAACUCGAGGAAACUCGAGCUAAUACCCGAUGCCCUCCUUGGACCGCAUGGUCCGUUGAGGAAAUGCUCCGGUGCUUCGGGAGGGUCUCGCGGCCUAUCAGCUUGUUGGUGAGGUAACGGCUCACCAAGGCAUCGACGGGUAGCUGGUCUGAGAGGACGAUCAGCCACACUGGGACUGAGACACGGCCCAGACUCCUACGGGAGGCAGCAGUAGGGAAUCUUGCGCAAUGGGCGAAAGCCUGACGCAGCAACGCCGCGUGGGGGAUGACAGCCUUCGGGUUGUAAACCCCUUUCAGCAGGGACGAAAAUGACGGUACCUGCAGAAGAAGGUCCGGCCAACUACGUGCCAGCAGCCGCGGUAAUACGUAGGGACCGAGCGUUGUCCGGAAUUAUUGGGCGUAAAGAGCUCGUAGGCGGUUCGGUAAGUCGGGUGUGAAAAUCCAGGGCUCAACCCUGGGACGC